UGGCCACAGCCCUCCCAAGUGAGGCCCAGA
RNAcentral lists this non-coding RNA (30 nucleotides) under Homo sapiens (human). Lineage: Eukaryota; Metazoa; Chordata; Mammalia; Primates; Hominidae. The record is from RNAcentral.